RNAcentral lists this ribosomal RNA (253 nucleotides) under uncultured bacterium. Its description in RNAcentral is "partial 16S ribosomal RNA". It matches the Rfam family "Bacterial small subunit ribosomal RNA", at positions 524 to 776 of the family's 1533-position model. The record is from RNAcentral.
UACGGAGGGUGCAAGCGUUGUCCGGAUUUAUUGGGUUUAAAGGGUGCGUAGGCGGGAGAUUAAGUCAGAGGUGAAAGACUGCAGCUCAACUGUAGCAGUGCCUUUGAUACUGAUUUUCUUGAGUACAGAUGAGGCUGGCGGAAUGGGUGGUGUAGCGGUGAAAUGCAUAGAUACCAUCCAGAACACCGAUUGCGUAGGCAGCCGGCUAAACUGUCACUGACGCUGAGGCACGAAAGCGUGGGGAUCGAACAGG